Molecule: long non-coding RNA, 1021 nt
Filed under: Bemisia tabaci
Lineage: Eukaryota; Metazoa; Arthropoda; Insecta; Hemiptera; Aleyrodidae
Description: lncRNA ENSSSA1UGG008289
Source: RNAcentral
CAAGAAUGAGUCGCGAGGAAUCUCAACACUUCUCUUGAUUAUUCACGUAACCUUAAGAUCUACCUUGAUUCUAUUUGUAAGUAUUUAUCUUGAUCAAGCACGACCUAAUUUUAUCUCGGCAGUGUGUAUUUAAAUACUCGCUUAGAAAAGCUGAAUCGUCUUCUCUUCGUUUUCUCUCCUCCAGAAUAGACAUACAUGCAGUUUUUCUCCUAUCGAAGCGUGUGCUUUUAAGCUCGCAUGUCCACUUCUAGACAAUUGUGUACCCUCUGACGUCGAUAUCACUAAACUCUCAUUCAAUAUCGACGAUGAAACUGUAAAAACGCGUAACUCACCUUGCAGCCUUCCUGUCAUAAUUUAUUUUCUAAAUGGAAAACCAAACUCCAUUGCUCAAUGACAUUUCUCGAGAACUACCUUGAUUUUUUCCUACCUCUGUGAAGAAUAUUCUGUGAAAAUUGCAAGGAAUAAAAUUGGUUUGUUCUCCUCUCAUCUCAUAAAAUAAAAUGGGACCAGAGGUUUUGACAGACCUUAAGUGAGAAACGCGUUUUUGCAGUUUCGUCGUUGAUAAAACGUCGACGUCGUAUAAAUACAGACCUUAAAACAGGGAGCAAGUUUUUAGACAAUGAUACUUUUUAAUCAAAUCGUUUGGAUUAUAAGUAUGGUAUGUCUUUUUUUCUGAAAAAAAAAUGAAUGAAAAAAAAACAUCCCCUUUCUGUGAAAUACUUUCAAAUUUUACUCCUGCUGCACGGCGAGAAUCAACGAAACUUAAUUUAUACGUUUCCCUGAAUCUUUGCAACCCUGUUUGACGUCACGCAAGUAUGACAAGUUAUGAAUCCAUAACAAGUGUCAAAACUUUUUAAAAUCUUAUUUUCUUAAGUAUUUAUAAACUUGACGUAUAAACAGACAUUAUGCACACAGAUUCUAAAUUCACAUUAUUGUAAAUUAAAUAUAAUUUUUUUUCCUUCUUUUGAGUUUUCCGUGAACCUUACGUGUAUGCACACAUUUUCCCCUUUUUCCGGUCAAG